CCAGUGCCAGUGCCACUGCAACUGCAACUGGAACGGAGUAGAUGGCCAGGUUUUGCUUCAGUUUUGGCGUAAUUUAUCAGAGCCUGAAAUGCAAUCGCGCUGUGCAGGUGAAAAAUGGACAGACAGGGAGACAGCGACAGAGUCGCGGACAACACACAACACCACUUGGCCACUUGUUAUCCUCAUCCAAGUAUCCCCAGUAUCCCAGUAAGCAACUCCACAGUGCACUCCACAGCGCACUCCACACUGCACACGGCAGCAAAUCAAAUAGCAAACUUAUACAGAUGUCAAUUAUUUUUGCCUGAAGCUGGAGCUGGAGCUGGUGCUGGUGCUGUAGCUGGUCCGCUCUUCUAUUUCGAUUUAGUUGCUGGCUUGCAAUUUUGGCUCGUUUCAGUGCAGUUCAGUUCUGUUCGGUACGGUUCGGUUCGGUUUGGAUUGGAUUGGAUGCGAUUGGAGAGACGAAAUUGCUGGCUGAACUCGUUAGCUGCAAGUUGGCAACAACAAUCCAUCCGUUGCAGGGGCAACGUGGCAUCGUUCUGCACUGCACUGGCAAGUCAUCCAAUUGCUAGGCUAGGAAAUUGUUAUUAUUUCUACCUUUUGCCAUGGAGAUUGCCUACCUGCCCCCCUCCCCAACCCUGUACGCGGACUCUGCUGGAUUGGACAUGGUACAUCGACAGAUCUCUCGCUUCUUGUUCAUUGCUCGCAAAUUAUAAUUGAAUGAUUGCACGGGCUGCUGGUGCUGGUGCUGCUGCUGCUGCUGCUGCCAAGCGAUUUGCUCGUCAUUUUCCCCACUCAUUCAGCCUCGUUAUGCCGAACGGAGGGAUGGCUCAGAUCAGAUCAGCGCAGAUCAAUUGAUAUUGAUUGGGUCUCUGUUUAAAGGAAAAAGGUGUCAAAACUAUUGCCUCCUAAAUGGGGCUGCCCCUCAAGGCAUACCAAACCAUUCCAUUCCAUGCCAUGCCAUACCAUGCCAUACCAUUCCAUACCAGCGAAAUGUACAACAUUUCCACCAUUGCAGAGAGUGUCUGUCAAGUUCAUUAAAUUGUAUCUGGGGUCUGGGGGCCCAUUUGACUUAUUACAGACUAAGGCUCUGCUCAGCCGAUGAAUGCCUGAUGAAUUGAAUGUAAUGUAAUGGCCAUGCCAUGCAAUGCCAUGCCAGGCCAUGCCAUGGGGAUCAACGUUUGACAACAAAUUUAUUUAAAAGACAACUUGCAACAAAUAAAUUUCGCUAGAGCAAGGCCCAGACGUUGAGAGAGUGGAAUGCAGACCACGGACAAGAGCCUGUGUAGGAGUCGAGAGUCGCAGUCAGUGUCCCGUCAUUGUCCUCCUGGCUUGAUGUCCAAUAAUGCGAUGGCUUGUUGAAAUUCAUUCAUCAAUGUAAUCGAUCAGACAUGGGGCCAGAGCAUUGACAUGCCACGUAACAUGCUCUCCUCUCGUAUGUAAAUGGAGCCAGAAAUCCGUAGCAGAUCCAGACAGAGACUGAGGCACAGGCACAGACACAGACACACACAAUGCAACAUAAAAUUUAAUCAAUUUAUUGGAAACGAGGUAUUGUCUUUGGGCUCUCUUGCCUUGACUCCGACUCGGACUCGGACUUAACUCAAUACUCGGGUCGACUCGACUCGAAUCAACGUCCGUGGCUUAUCCCCAGCUUAGCAUCUACACUUUCUCUCCUCACGGGUUUGAUAUGGGAGUCAAAAGUAUUUUCUUGGCACGAAUGCGAGCAAAAGGCCAACAUAAAUCCAGGCGAUUCGUGUGGAGUGGCAUGGAGUGGAGGCUGUGGGUGGGUGGGGCUCGGCUCAGCUCUGACAACCUGGACAACCGCACCCACCUUGUUGCCAGAGCAGCUGCCAGAGAGAUGUGGCCAAAGUUUGGCAUUAGAUUAUGGCUUUGCAUUUUCUGGGUGCAAGCCAAGCCAAGGCAGCGAAGGCUUUAGGAUGUGGUCCAAUUUAAAAUAAAUAAUUGAUAUCUCGAUUGAAUCCUCAUUCUUUGGAGAAUACUUUGGAAACAGUGCAGCAUUUGCUUUAGCUUUCAGCUGAGCAAUAAUCUACCCUUAGGCAGCACAAUUCUAGCACAAGUCCCACAGAAGUCCCAAAAGGCAGGCAAAAUGGUGAAGCAAAAGGAGCCAGAGGAAGUUUUCGAGCUGAUUCCCGAAUCUGAAAUGCUCGUACGGCACGGCCAGCAUCUAAGUCGAAUUCAUGAUAUGGCCAUUAGCAGGAAGCUAAUAAACCGUUCCCUCGACGAGUUCGAUCGAAUGGAGAAGGAACGAACUCGAAGUGACCACUGGGAUCAGUACCUGCUCUGCGAUGAACUGCCGCGACCCUUCAACCCAUCGGAAAUACGUACGUUCUUAGCCAAAGAACGGCACUUCGAGGACCUUGAGGCGGACAAGGCUAUAGACUGGACUUUGUCGGUGGACGAGCGCAGUAUCUUGAAUCAGAACAUUUACAGGGUCGACCGAACCCGUCGAACGCUGAAAAAGGUCCAGGCCAUCAAUCCGGCCGAGUACAUCGAGAGGGAUGUCCAGCUGUGCCUCGACACAUUGCGGCGAUUGGAUGGUCUGCUGGACAACGAUUUGGAGCUGCAACGAAUGAGCGUGAGAAGGCUGGCGGAUAUAUUGCUGGUUCGCGGCGACAUCGAGCUGGAGAUCGUCAGCCUCUUCGAUCGUCUUGCCUACAGGAUCUUGGGCAUGCAAGGAGCCCACAUGAAUACUGUGGACAAUAGGGUAGCCACGUGGAGCUACAAAUGUGAGCCGUGGGCCAUGGAUAUUUGGGGUCUGCUGAUAGCACCCAUGCGCUUCAACAAUUUGCCAAUUCCUGCUAUGCUGGCCGAACUGAGCACCACAGGUGUCUCGGUGCAGAUGCCUCUGAGUGUGCUGAGGGACUGCCUCACCCUGCGCUGCAUCCACACCAAAUUUGAUAACUACUCGCCAAAUGCCAAGAGCUACGAGCUCUUGGUUACCGAGUCCCCUACCUACCCCACCGCUGGGAUAGUGGAUAUCGAGGCCUCGGCGGAAAACGAGUGGCGCAUGCAGCUGGAGAUACAAAAGGAGGUCUUGGAGGAGAUGUUAGUGAAGCGGCAGCUGUACGAGGAACUCAUUGAGCUUAUAAACGCAAAGAACGCACAGGCGGCAAGAGAGUCGAAAGGGGCGGACAGGAAGGCCCAGAAGGCAGCUAUACCCAAGUUCCCAAAGGAGCAGCCAAUAGUGCCACCGGGCAUGGUGCCCGAUAUCUACGAGGAGUUCGUCAAAAGGGAGAAGACCCAAUACCAAUCAUUUCUGGAGGAGGUAUACCAUCCCAAUGCACUGAACCUGACAUAUGAUGAGAUAAAUCUUCGCGAAUGCAUUAUGCUCGGCGGAAUAUACUCGAUUAUGUUUGUGGGCCGACCUGCUCAAACGCAAUUCGAGAAGUUCAACAUUAUCCUGCACGAGGACGGCCGGGCCUUACUCGCUAUGCCGGAGGUGGUGGCCGUCCUUGACAAGCCCGAGGAUAGUCUCAGAGCCUCGGCCUUUUCAGCGGCGAGGUCGUCUAACUUCCGCUUGACUCUGGAGGAUAUCGGCAAUAUGAGGUUGGAUCCCGAUGAGCUACCGUACUUUAUCGUCGUCCUGGAACUGGCGCCCGAGCUUUGCCUGUGGGGCGAGCCCAAGGUCUGCCAGUUCUUCACGAGUCUGCAGCCCAUUUAUCCAGGGCCAGAAGUAUCCCUCAACCAUACUGCCACUGAGAAGCACAAGAAGGCGGCUCCAAAGCCGCGACAUAUUCUCGAAGGAAACGAUACCGAGGAAACCCCGAGCGCCAAUAUCUUUCGACCCAGUGUCAGGGCGAGCAUACGGUUUAGUGAAUCGAGGUCUUUUCAGCUUGAGAAAUCUGGCGGCCUGCCCGAUUUCCCGUUGAAUGAUUAUCUCGAUCAUCCGAAAUUACGGAGCAUGGAGCGACACUGUCUACCGCGCCUGCUCUCCUCGUUCAAGUUUCCAAGCGAGUUUCUAGAGGAGCUGAAGGAGGCGUUUGCCACCAAAAAGGCAGCAAGGCAGAAGGGUCUGGUCCGACGACACAGUAUCGAGGAUGAGGAUUUUGCACUGUCAAAACUUGAUUUCGAUUUCGAGUCACAGCACAAUCCGGAGCGGCUCUUUCCCAUAUUUGAUGCGUUGGAGAGUGUCGAGUAUGGCGAGAAAGCCCCUAAGGAUAGCGAGACAAUGCACGGCUUGUUGGGCACCAUUCAAAACAUCAAAGAUCGGUAUCUGCUGCGGCAGCCGGCUGUAGACCCCGAGAUGAGGCCUGUCCGAAAAAAAGAUAUGAUUUCGGAAGAGCCGGCCACACAGGCACAAGCCAAAGCCAAAGGACACAAGCACAAACCUCAGCCAAUGAGGAAUCGAUUGAACCAAAGACGGAGGUCUUGCACUGGACAACGAAGCACAUUGUGGAUACCACAUUCGACAGACUGAACCACACGAUGACCAUUAAGACAGAUCGUUUGGGUAUUUUCGGCUUGGCCUUCAAACGCUACGAGCAUUUUCCCUUCCGCGACUGGUCCCUGCAGCCCAACGAGGAGAAUCCCGAUGAGAUCAUUCUCCAGUUGGACACGUACCAUGUGCGAAUAUAUUUAUACAUUACAUCGAAGGGAGUGCGCGGCUAUGCUACGGAAUUGAGCAACGCUUAUACGGCGAAACCAGUCAAAUAUCUUGAAAUUGUAGAG
RNA transcript from Drosophila pseudoobscura, 4686 nucleotides. RefSeq lists it as uncharacterized. The transcript has 8 exons. The record is from RefSeq and is a predicted model, not a curated record. Lineage: Eukaryota; Metazoa; Arthropoda; Insecta; Diptera; Drosophilidae.